CCCUUCCCCCGCCCCCAAUCUGUGACCUUUCUGUGCUUCCGACAGGAAAUAAACCUCUGGGGGAGAGAAGGGCAGACAUGGAGCCAGGGCGACUGAGCCCCCAAGUAGGGGAGGGUGGUGAGGGGACCCCAGGGGACGGAGUCGUAUGCUCAGCCUCCAGUGAGCAAGGAAGUCAGCGGGGCUGGGAUUCAAACCGACCCUGACCCUGGGAACUGUGGCAGCCGGAGCCUGGGCGGAGGAAUAGAACCUUCUGUCGUUCAGCUGAGCUUUAUCACCAGUUUCCUGUUGCUCCAUAGCAGCUUCACUG
This 307-nucleotide long non-coding RNA is filed under the name Homo sapiens (human). RNAcentral's name for it is "HSALNT0406031". Lineage: Eukaryota; Metazoa; Chordata; Mammalia; Primates; Hominidae. The record is from RNAcentral.